Molecule: unclassified non-coding RNA, 400 nt
Filed under: uncultured bacterium
Lineage: Bacteria
Description: contains 16S-23S intergenic spacer region
Source: RNAcentral
UUUUCAUUGCGUAGUUUGGGUAGUUUGGUCCACGGAGCUCGCCGAGCAGUCCCUCGUCGGGACGGAUCGACAUCGAGUUUGCGGAACCGCACUGGUCCUGCAGGUCGUAGCCGAAGAAUCCGAGACGUGACCAGCCUUCCUUGUGCAUGAGCAUCGACAAGUACCAGCCGUUCAGGCCCGCGUUGGAGUUUGCGGUUGCGAGUGAACAGGAGAUACCUGAUGCUGCUGCAAGGACGGAGGCACGCUGGGAUCCGCCGAAGUGGCUCUCGAGGGUCGUGGGGUAGGUUUCGUACUGCUCCAUACCGUAGAGGUUGACCUCGGUUGCGAUGUCGCUGACGGCUUCCUGGGUCGGCUUUGCCUUACCAAUGCCACCGUGUUUCUUCUUGAUAUAGUCAAGACC